UACACAUGCAAGUCGAACGGCAGCACGGGAGCAAUCCUGGUGGCGAGUGGCGAACGGGUGAGUAAUAUAUCGGAACGUACCUUGGAGUGGGGGAUAACGUAGCGAAAGUUACGCUAAUACCGCAUAUUCUGUGCGCAGGAAAGCAGGGGAUCUUAGGACCUUGUGCUCUUUGAGCGGCCGAUAUCAGAUUAGCUAGUUGGUGAGGUAAAGGCUCACCAAGGCGACGAUCUGUAGCGGGUCUGAGAGGAUGAUCCGCCACACUGGAACUGAGACACGGUCCAGACUCCUACGGGAGGCAGCAGUGGGGAAUUUUGGACAAUGGGGGCAACCCUGAUCCAGCCAUGCCGCGUGAGUGAAGAAGGCCUUCGGGUUGUAAAGCUCUUUCGGCCGGGAAGAAAUCGCAUCGGUUAAUACCCGGUGUGGAUGACGGUACCGGAAUAAGAAGCACCGGCUAACUACGUGCCAGCAGCCGCGGUAAUACGUAGGGUGCGAGCGUUAAUCGGAAUUACUGGGCGUAAAGCGUGCGCAGGCGGUUUGUUAAGAUAGGCGUGAAAUCCCCGGGCUCAACCUGGGAACUGCGCUUAUGACUGGCAGGCUAGAGUACGGCAGAGGGGGGUGGAAUUCCACGUGUAGCAGUGAAAUGCGUAGAGAUGUGGAGGAACACCAAUGGCGAAGGCAGCCCCCUGGGUCGAUACUGACGCUCAUGCACGAAAGCGUGGGUAGCAAACAGGAUUAGAUACCCUGGUAGUC
RNAcentral lists this ribosomal RNA (750 nucleotides) under uncultured bacterium. Its description in RNAcentral is "bacterial SSU rRNA". It matches the Rfam family "Bacterial small subunit ribosomal RNA", at positions 50 to 795 of the family's 1533-position model. The record is from RNAcentral.